Molecule: long non-coding RNA, 1432 nt
Filed under: Oryctolagus cuniculus (rabbit)
Lineage: Eukaryota; Metazoa; Chordata; Mammalia; Lagomorpha; Leporidae
Description: lncRNA (ENSOCUG00000034263.1)
Source: RNAcentral
AUGCUCCCAUCCCGGAGGUCUGGAUUCUCAUCCCAGCACACAGGACCCAAGCAUCCUGGAAAAUGGUUUGCUCUCCCCCACCACAUCACCAACAGACGACUAUGGCACUGUUCUGAAGGCCUUCUUGUCACUCAGCAAAGAAAUGGAAACUGCACAGGACCAACAUCAGCUGGUGAUGAAAUCGAGUUCAGUGGCAUUUGCACCAUGCUUUUGGUAGACAGAAGCUCCCUGCCCGGCCCCUGUUCCAUGAUUGUAUACAAACGGAAAACAAUGAAAUCAUGGCAAUCCACUGAUACAAUUCUUUUAACAAGAAUGCAAGUAAGAAUAGCAAGAAGUCAUCAGAAGAAAAACAGAGCAAGAAGUCAAGUGUAUCAAGUGUGUUUCAGUUUCACCACUUGUUUGUAUUCCCCUAGGUUCUCCCUAUCUAAAUAAUGAUUAAGGGCAUACAAAUCUCAGAUUCAAACACUGAUGCCUUAAACAGAAUAUAAGCUUGUCAUCCUCUUGAUUUUUUGCCUUGAUGCUGUUUCCAUGUCUGGCUCUACAUCAUAGCUCAUCAACACUUUGCUUUCUGCUAGCCCAUUUCAGACACUUUUGCUUUUUUCUCAUGAUUCUUUUGAAAAUAACUCUAAUACUAACCUCCAGCUACAUCUACAGUGACUAUACUUACUGUUUACUUUUGUUCAUAGACUGCUUCUGCAGGAGUCAGGUUAGAGAAAUUUAUCAAACAAAUGAUGAAAAAUGUGCAUAAGCAGAGCCUUAGGUGUCAAUUCUAAGGACUUACAAAAUAAUUGUCUACUGACUUUUUGAAUCAUAAGUAAAAGUUAUCAGAUUUAAGGAGCUCACAGCAGGUCUUAAAGUUUUAUUUUUGUUCGUUCACUUUUAUUCUUUUUUUUUCUGAUUGUAUAUUUCUUUUUUUUUAACUUUUAUUUAAUGAAUAUAAAUUUCCAAAGUACGGCUUAUGGAUUACCACUUUUAUUCUUUUUAAAAAAGAUUUAUUUAUUUGAAAGAGUCAGAAGAGAGAGAGAGAGAAGAGAUACUGAGAGUCUAUCCACUGAUGGCCUCCAGGUGGCUGCAAUAGCCCAGGCUGGGCCAGGAGCUUCAUCCAGGUCUCCUAUGUGGGUGACAGGGCCCAGGUUCUUGGGACAUCUUUAGCUGCUUUUUCCAAGCCAUUAGCUGGAUACGAAGUGGAGCAGCUAAGACUUGAACCUACUGCUGGUGCUGCAGGUGGAAGCUCUACCCACACUUACAUUCUUUAGAAAUAUUAUUUUGUUUUGAAAUAUUACAAUAUAAUAUCCUUAAAGUUGUGUUUACUGAGAUUUUCCAAGAACUAAAUGUAAACCUGAAAGUUAUAAAUAUCCUUGACUGGAAUUCUCUUGUAAUUUAUCUCUUCUAUUAAAUAAUAUUUCACAUGUGAACUGUAUUUUAAUUAUGU